UGAGUACGAGAUGCUACGGCAUCGAAGCAGUCUAUGUCAUACUUCCAAGAAAAGCUUGCACUGUCAGAAACAGAUAAUGCCUGUACCAUAACCGACACAGGUGGGUAGGUAGAGUAUACUAAGGGGCGCGAGAUAACUCUCUCUAAGGAACUCGGCAAAAUGACUCCGUAACUUCGGGAGAAGGAGUGCCUUAUUUUUAAGGUUGCAAUAACAAGAUCCAAGCAACUGUUUACCAAAAACACAGGUCUCCGCUAAGUCGUAAGACGAUGUAUGGGGGCUGACGCCUGCCCAGUGCCAGAAGGUUAAAGAAGUCGGUUAGCAUUCGCGAAGCUGGUAACUGAAGCCCUGGUGAACGGCGGCCGUAACAAUAACGGUCCUAAGGUAGCGAAAUUCCUUGUCGGGUAAGUUCCGACCCGCACGAAAGGCGUAAUGAUUUGGAUACUGUCUCGGAGAGGGGCUCGGUGAAAUAGACUUGUCUGUGAAGAUGCGGACUACCUGCACCUGGACAGAAAGACCCUAUGAAGCUUUACUGUAACUUGAAAUUGAAAUUGGACUUUAUUUGCGCAGUAUAGGUGGGAGGCGUUGAAAAUAUUCUUGCGGGAAUAUUGGAGCCAUCAGUGAGAUACCACUCUUGUAAUGUUAGAUUUCUAACUUUAUAUCAUUAUCUGGUUAAAGAACAGUUUCAGGCGGGCAGUUUGACUGGGGCGGUCGCCUCCCAAAUGGUAACGGAGGCGCACAAAGGUUUCCUCUGAACGGGUAGAAAUCGUAUCUAGAGUGUAAAGGCAUAAGGAAGCUUGACUGUGAGACCUACAAGUCGAGCAGGGACGAAAGUCGGUCUUAGUGAUCUGACGGUGCUGAGUGGAAAGGCCGUCACUCAACGGAUAAAAGUUACUCUAAGGAUAACAGGCUGAUCUCCCCCAAGAGUUCACAUCGACGGGGAGGUUUGGCACCUCGAUGUCGGCUCAUCGCAUCCUGGGGCGGUAGUACGUCCCAAGGGUUGGGCUGUUCGCCCAUGAAAGCGGUACGCGAGCUGGGUUCAGAACGUCGUGAGACAGUUCGGUCCAUAUCCGGUGUAGGCGUUAGAAUAUUGAGAGGAGCCUUCUUUAGUACGAGAGGACCGAGAAGGACAUACCUCUGGCGUACCAGUUAUCGUGCCAACGGUAAACGCUGGGUAGCUAUGUAUGGAGUGGAUAACCGCUGAAAGCAUCUAAGUGGGAAGCCCACCUCAAGAUAAG
Molecule: ribosomal RNA, 1235 nt
Filed under: metagenome
Description: bacterial LSU rRNA
Rfam family: Bacterial large subunit ribosomal RNA
Source: RNAcentral